CCCUUAGAUGUUCGGGGCCGCACGCGCGCUACACUGAAGGAAUCAGCGUGCUCUUGUCCUGGUCUGGAAAGACUGGGUAACCCGUUGAACCUCCUUCGUGCUAGGGAUUGGGGCUUGCAAUUAUUCCCCAUGAACGAGGAAUUCCCAGUAAGCGCAAGUCAUCAGCUUGUGUUGAUUACGUCCCUGCCCUUUGUACACACCGCCCGUCGCUACUACCGAUUGGAUCGUUUAGCGAGAGCCUUGGAUCGCUGCCCGGGUAGUCAGCAAUGGCCGCCCGGGAAUAGUGAAAAAUUGUUCCAGCUUGCCGAUCUAGAGGAAGUAAAAGUCGUAACA
Molecule: ribosomal RNA, 333 nt
Filed under: uncultured eukaryote
Lineage: Eukaryota
Description: partial 18S ribosomal RNA
Rfam family: Eukaryotic small subunit ribosomal RNA
Source: RNAcentral